Anguilla rostrata (American eel) is the source of this 1609-nucleotide long non-coding RNA. RefSeq lists it as uncharacterized. NCBI's taxonomy places the organism in Eukaryota, Metazoa, Chordata, Actinopteri, Anguilliformes, Anguillidae. The record is from RefSeq and is a predicted model, not a curated record. The transcript has 4 exons.
AAGGUAAAGCGCUGGUCAAAAUGCAAGGCCAUUUUGUGUUAGGCGACUGCUUAAGAAAUGCCACGUUUGGUGCCUCAGUAAAAUCACCUCAGUUUUUCGGGGACUUCAAACUAAAGAUUCGUGUUUCAACAUGGCAACCUGACACUGCCCUGCAGAACUCGCAGGCGGUACCCAUCGGAAAUGAUAGUAGUAGCCAAUGACGUCAGAGAGGAUGAGACAGAUGACGUGAGUGAUGUGUCAUGGUGGCAAUUUUGAAAUUGAAUUUGGCGUUUGAUUUGAGGUUGUCCUGCGGAAAGUUAACUUAGAGGUCGAUGCAUUUUCAUGGAAAGAGAGGCAUGAAUUGCCACCAAUUUGACAACAGCGCUGCGGUAGUUUCAGCAAACCCUCUUGUAGAGGUUACAGCUUCUGUUUGGAAAUCAAACCGCUUAUAAGGAACGGAGAAAAUAGCAACGGCCCUAUGGGGAGUAGCUGAAGAAUGGACUGAGGGAGGAAUGAACCUCUACCCACGCUGGAUGUGUCACCAGCCUGUGCUAAAGUCAUAAACCGAAACCAGGAAAUCCACACGCCUGCCAGUUGCUGACGGACACGCCGUACGCCUCUGGGCGCAGCGUCAGCGAUGCGGAUCGGCUGGGCGUGUGAUUUCGGUCGUUACCGAACGCGGAAGGCACGCGGUGACACAGAGGGACGGAGAAGGAGGUCUGCGGGGAGGCAAGGACCCGUUUGUGUCCCGCUGCCAGGUCCAGUUGGGUCUCGGUACUGACUGGGGAAAGAGCCAAAAUGCAAACAGCACCUGUCCCAGCCACAGGGGGAAGAAGGUACAUUUGGGAUACUGCCUCCCGACCGAUGCUCAGCACCCUGGUGGCGGUGGUGUGAAGGGGGCGGGGGCGGGGGGGGGGGGUGUUUUGCUGGGAGGGGGUGUAAGUGGCACGAGAUGGAAUUUACUUCACCACCCUUCACCCCCUCACCUGGAGUCCGGGACACUGUGGUUAUCGGCGUGCGGCAAAAUGGGAUCGGGAGCGUGUGGAAUUAAAGGAAAUCGGGUCGGUUCUUUCACGCCACUUCAUCUGCCAGCUGCUUCCUGUUUGUGGACCUACUUCCUGAGCAAACCCUUUUAAGAUGGCCACCACCACCUCUGACACUGGACUACAUGUGAUUUGCCUUUUCUUUGAACUGUUGAACUCAGUGGGCGGAGUGUGCAUUGUGUAGCUGUAAGAUUAUCUUGACGGGUGUCAUAUUGUUCGACUCCGAAACAAUAAUCCACAGGACUGAGACAGUUUCUUAGAAAUCCCACCAUGUUCCGCGUUGUGUUAGAGUGUAUAUAGGUGUAGGUAUAGGUGAGUGCACCUGUCAUCCAUUACACCAAUUACCCUGCCCCUCCUCGGACUCGCCUGCCCAUCUUUACCUCAGCUGCUGAGUGCUGGCAUCUCUCUGACCUGCGAUUGACCUUUGACCUUCGCUUACCGUAUCUGUUGUGAGUGACACGCAGUUAGCGCUGGCGCUGAUAAGAGCUUAUCCGGUGGCCAGAGGCGUUUGUAAACGCGCUUGUCCUGUCCCAUCCUUGUCUGGGCCUUUAAAACUUCCAAUAAAAGGGGCGGAUGUGUGAAAUUGA